RNAcentral lists this ribosomal RNA (410 nucleotides) under beta proteobacterium enrichment culture clone MBfR_AsRed_7. RNAcentral describes it as "bacterial SSU rRNA". It matches the Rfam family "Bacterial small subunit ribosomal RNA", at positions 11 to 423 of the family's 1533-position model. The record is from RNAcentral. Lineage: Bacteria; Pseudomonadati; Pseudomonadota; Betaproteobacteria.
GUUUGAUCCUGGCUCAGAUUGAACGCUGGCGGAAUGCUUUACACAUGCAAGUCGAGCGGCAGCGCGGGGGCAACCCUGGCGGCGAGCGGCGAACGGGUGAGUAACACAUCGGAACGUACCCUGUCGUGGGGGAUAACGAAUCGAAAGAUUCGCUAAUACCGCAUACGACCUGAGGGUGAAAGCGGGGGAUCGCAAGACCUCGCGCGAUAGGAGCGGCCGAUGUCGGAUUAGCUAGCUGGUGGGGUAAAGGCCUACCAAGGCGACGAUCCGUAGCUGGUCUGAGAGGACGACCAGCCACACUGGGACUGAGACACGGCCCAGACUCCUACGGGAGGCAGCAGUGGGGAAUUUUGGACAAUGGGGGCAACCCUGAUCCAGCCAUUCCGCGUGAGUGAAGAAGGCCUUCGGGU